GGUCAAGCGAACAAGUGCAUGUGGUGGAUGCCUUGGCGAUCACAGGCGAUGAAGGACGCGGUAGCCUGCGAAAAGCUACGGGGAGCUGGCAAACGAGCUUUGAUCCGUAGAUGUCCGAAUGGGGAAACCCACUCCUUUUGGAGUAUCCAUGACUGAAUACAUAGGUCAUGUGAAGCGAACGCGGUGAACUGAAACAUCUAAGUAACCGCAGGAAAAGAAAUCAACCGAGAUUCCCAAAGUAGUGGCGAGCGAAAUGGGAAGAGCCUGUACUCUUUAUUUGUAUUGUUAGCCGAACGCUCUGGAAAGUGCGGCCAUAGCAGGUGAUAGCCCUGUAGGCGAAAACAGUAUGAAAGAACUAGGUGUACGACAAGUAGGGCGGGACACGUGAAAUCCUGUCUGAAGAUGGGGGGACCAUCCUCCAAGGCUAAAUACUCGUGAUCGACCGAUAGUGAACCAGUACCGUGAGGGAAAGGUGAAAAGAACCCCGGGAGGGGAGUGAAAUAGAUCCUGAAACCGCAUGCAUACAAACAGUCGGAGCCUCGUAAGGGGUGACGGCGUACCUUUUGUAUAAUGGGUCAGCGACUUACGUUCAGUAGCAAGCUUAACCGAAUAGGGCAGGCGUAGCGAAAGCGAGUCCGAAUAGGGCGUUCAGUUGCUGGGCGUAGACCCGAAACCAAGUGAUCUAUCCAUGGCCAGGAUGAAGGUGCGGUAACACGUACUGGAGGUCCGAACCCACUAACGUUGAAAAGUUAGGGGAUGAGCUGUGGAUAGGGGUGAAAGGCUAAACAAACUUGGAAAUAGCUGGUUCUCUCCGAAAACUAUUUAGGUAGUGCCUCGUGUCUCACCUUCGGGGGUAGAGCACUGUCAUGGUUGGGGGGUCUAUUGCAGAUUACCCCGCCAUAGCAAACUCCGAAUACCGAAGAGUGCAAUCACGGGAGACAGACAUCGGGUGCUAACGUCCGGUGUCAAGAGGGAAACAACCCAGACCGCCAGCUAAGGUCCCCAAAUAUAGCUAAGUGGGAAACGAAGUGGGAAGGCUAAAACAGUCAGGAGGUUGGCUUAGAAGCAGCCACCCUUUAAAGAAAGCGUAAUAGCUCACUGAUCGAGUCGUCCUGCGCGGAAGAUGUAACGGGGCUAAGCUAUAUACCGAAGCUGCGGAUGCACAUUUAUGUGCAUGGUAGGAGAGCGUUCCGUAAGCCUGCGAAGGUGCAUUGUAAAGUGUGCUGGAGGUAUCGGAAGUGCGAAUGCUGACAUGAGUAGCGAUAAAGGGGGUGAAAGGCCCCCUCGCCGUAAGCCCAAGGUUUCCUACGCAACGUUCAUCGGCGUAGGGUGAGUCGGCCCCUAAGGCGAGGCAGAAAUGCGUAGCUGAUGGGAAGCAGGUCAAUAUUCCUGCACCAUUGUUAAAUGCGAUGGGGGGACGGAUCGCGGAAGGUUGUCCGGGUGUUGGAAGUCCCGGUCGCUGCAUUGGAGAAGGCGCUUAGGCAAAUCCGGGCGCGGAAUUCAAGGAUGUGGCGCGAGCUUCUUCGGAAGCGAAGCAAUCGGAAGUGGUUCCAAGAAAAGCCUCUAAGCUUCAGUUUAACAGUGACCGUACCGCAAACCGACACAGGUGGGCGAGAUGAGUAUUCUAAGGCGCUUGAGAGAACUCGGGAGAAGGAACUCGGCAAAUUGGUACCGUAACUUCGGGAUAAGGUACGCCCCUGUAGCUUGACUGGCCUGCGCCAGAAGGGUGAAGGGGUUGCAAUAAACUGGUGGCUGCGACUGUUUAAUAAAAACACAGCACUCUGCAAACACGAAAGUGGACGUAUAGGGUGUGACGCCUGCCCGGUGCCGGAAGAUUAAAUGAUGGGGUGCAAGCUCUUGAUUGAAGUCCCGGUAAACGGCGGCCGUAACUAUAACGGUCCUAAGGUAGCGAAAUUCCUUGUCGGGUAAGUUCCGACCUGCACGAAUGGCGUAACGAUGGCCACACUGUCUCCUCCCGAGACUCAGCGAAGUUGAAGUGUUUGUGAUGAUGCAAUCUCCCCGCGGCUAGACGGAAAGACCCCAUGAACCUUUACUGUAGCUUUGCAUUGGACUUUGAACCGAUCUGUGUAGGAUAGGUGGGAGGCUAUGAAACCGGAACGCUAGUUUCGGUGGAGCCGUCCUUGAAAUACCACCCUGGUUUGUUUGAGGUUCUAACCUUGGCCCGUGAUCCGGGUCGGGGACAGUGCAUGGUAGGCAGUUUGACUGGGGCGGUCUCCUCCCAAAGUGUAACGGAGGAGUACGAAGGUACGCUAGGUACGGUCGGAAAUCGUGCUGAUAGUGCAAUGGCAUAAGCGUGCUUAACUGCGAGACCGACAAGUCGAGCAGGUGCGAAAGCAGGUCAUAGUGAUCCGGUGGUUCUGUAUGGAAGGGCCAUCGCUCAACGGAUAAAAGGUACUCUGGGGAUAACAGGCUGAUACCGCCCAAGAGUUCAUAUCGACGGCGGUGUUUGGCACCUCGAUGUCGGCUCAUCUCAUCCUGGGGCUGUAGCCGGUCCCAAGGGUAUGGCUGUUCGCCAUUUAAAGAGGUACGUGAGCUGGGUUUAAAACGUCGUGAGACAGUUUGGUCCCUAUCUGCCGUGGGCGUUGGAUAUUUGAAGGGGGCUGCUCCUAGUACGAGAGGACCGGAGUGGACGAACCUCUGGUGUACCGGUUGUCACGCCAGUGGCAUCGCCGGGUAGCUAUGUUCGGAAGAGAUAACCGCUGAAAGCAUCUAAGCGGGAAACUCGCCUUAAGAUGAGAUAUCCCCGGGGACUUGAUCCCCUUGAAGGGUCGUUCGAGACCAGGACGUUGAUAGGUCAGGUGUGUAAGCGCAGUAAUGCGUUCAGCUAACUGAUACUAAUUGCCCGUAAGGCUUGAUCCUA
RNAcentral lists this ribosomal RNA (2881 nucleotides) under Burkholderia plantarii. RNAcentral's name for it is "bacterial LSU rRNA". It matches the Rfam family "Bacterial large subunit ribosomal RNA". The record is from RNAcentral. Lineage: Bacteria; Pseudomonadati; Pseudomonadota; Betaproteobacteria; Burkholderiales; Burkholderiaceae.